Molecule: ribosomal RNA, 859 nt
Filed under: uncultured bacterium
Lineage: Bacteria
Description: bacterial SSU rRNA
Rfam family: Bacterial small subunit ribosomal RNA
Source: RNAcentral
AGUCGAACGGCAGCGCGGGGCAACCUGGCGGCGAGUGGCGAACGGGUGAGUAAUAUAUCGGAACGUACCCAAGAGUGGGGGAUAACGUAGCGAAAGUUACGCUAAUACCGCAUACGAUCUAUGGAUGAAAGUGGGGGAUUCGCAAGAACCUCAUGCUCCUGGAGCGGCCGAUAUCUGAUUAGCUAGUUGGUGAGGUAAAGGCUCACCAAGGCGACGAUCAGUAGCUGGUCUGGGAGGACGACCAGCCACACUGGAACUGAGACACGGUCCAGACUCCUACGGGAGGCAGCAGUGGGGAAUUUUGGACAAUGGGCGCAAGCCUGAUCCAGCAAUGCCGCGUGAGUGAAGAAGGCCUUCGGGUUGUAAAGCUCUUUUGUCAGGGAAGAAACGGCUGGGGAUAAUACCCUCGGCUAAUGACGGUACCUGAAGAAUAAGCACCGGCUAACUACGUGCCAGCAGCCGCGGUAAUACGUAGGGUGCAAGCGUUAAUCGGAAUUACUGGGCGUAAAGCGUGCGCAGGCGGUUUUGUAAGUCUGUCGUGAAAGCCCCGGGCUCAACCUGGGAAUUGCGAUGGAGACUGCAAGGCUUGAAUCUGGCAGAGGGGGGUAGAAUUCCACGUGUAGCAGUGAAAUGCGUAGAGAUGUGGAGGAACACCGAUGGCGAAGGCAGCCCCCUGGGUCAAGAUUGACGCUCAUGCACGAAAGCGUGGGGAGCAAACAGGAUUAGAUACCCUGGUAGUCCACGCCCUAAACGAUGUCUACUAGUUGUCGGGUCUUAAUUGACUUGGUAACGCAGCUAACGCGUGAAAGUAGACCGCCUGGGGAGUACGGUCGCAAGAUUAAAACUCAAAGGAAUUGAC